CCGCAAGCCUCUCUUUAUUCCCAGCUACUGAAUUCAUCGUGGCUUUUGCAGAGGAGAGCGUCUAAGUGUCUCGCCAACGCUACAUCCAAAAGUCACGCGUUCUCUUUUCGCGGUCACAGCCAGAUCACUGGCAUCGCCCUCAGCCAAGUCAGUCGGUUCUCCUCCGCGAGGAGACAGAGGGGCCGAUCGGGCGCACAGCGGCCGCGGGAAGGUGGGCGAGCCCGCGCCGCGCCGCGCCCGCACGCGCCCUCCGCCCGCGCAGCCGGCGGUGGGAACUUGCCUCCUUCACCGCGCUCGCUGAGUUCAAAGAAAUUCUCCCAAAAUAUAAAGAUCCAGACUCGGGGAGGAGCCUCGGCGUGUCGCCAAGCCAAUAUGCGCCGGCCCGUUUCGCCUGACAGUUGCGCGAGGGCAGGGAGUGGGGCGGCCCUGCGUGGCCCGGAGCCGUCCACGGUCAGGGCGCGCGUGUGCGCCUGGGCGCAGCGCAGAACCUCGGGAGCCGCGGCCGCGCCUCCUUGGAGCCCGCCGCCCGCCUGCUGCCGCCGCGCCGCCCGGGAUCCAUUUUAUGGCGCGGCGCUCCUGCCUGACAUUGCGAGGCCGCGCUCCCGGGCGGGGGUGGGGUCGUAAAUCUCGCUCCCGGCGAGGAAGUUCCUGGCGAGUGGCCCGCGGCCGGGGCUCUAAGGCCACGCCGCUGCGGGGGGACGGGAACGCUGCGCCCCAGCUCCCCCGCCCCCAAGUUCUUUUCUCUUCCUGGCGAGGCUUGCAGGUCUGCUUUUGAAACGCCGUGUAAAACGGAUUGAGUCACAAGUCCACAAACACGCUGGGUCCUCCCCCCGCCCUUUGUUCUCCCAGACCUGCCCUGCAAACCUUUUCUGGAACGGUCCUCCCCACCCGGGGCCGCCCGGGGGCCUCCCUCCCGGAGCGCAGCUGGAGGACCCGCGGGCCCUUGCCCCCGCCCCCAGCCCGCCCGCCUGCCUGCCCCGCCGGAGCCCCAACCCGCGGGGCGCUAAACCCUCAGGGCUGGACAGGUGAGCCCCAGCACCCAGCUGCCGGGCGGGGGAAACUGAGGAUUCGCCGCGCCGCACACGGGCAGCGCGGACGGCGCGGGCCGGAGAGGGGGUGUGGCACGGGCUGGCCUCGGCCUCUGCGGGCCAGAGCUCAGUCCCCUCGCCAGCUUCCGCGCUCGUCUCCUCGCGCCGGGGACCCAUAGGACCUGCAGGGCACCCACACGCCGCCCCUCCGCGGUCCCCGCCUCCGCCCCCGGCGCGGCGCCCGGGAGUGCAGGAAGCCGGCACAAGCCAGGCUCCACACGUGGCUGCUCUGGGGUGUCAUUUUUCAUUUCCCGGGAGGACAUUCCUUCUGGUGUGCCGGCAGGUCUAUUUUGUUGUGACCUUUAAUUAACACCCGGCGAGACGCCUCCUGCAGGACCAGCCCCGCGCGGGGGUCACGUGAGGUGUAAUGGCAUCUCCGCGCCCCCAGAGACCCGCGGGGCUGGGCGAGGGCGCAGAGGACAUUUAGGGCUCUCCAGCCAUCAGCUCCCCGCGAGAGAAGGAUGAAGCAGGAAGUGGCAGGAAGACAACAAUUCGGGGUGCUGGAACCCUGGGGAAAUCCUGCCCGUGCCUCCCCGGCGCGGCCGUCCCUCCAUCCCCGCCCCCGCGCAGCCCUGGAGUGGGACUCUCACGGCCACCAAGGCGAGGGAAGAAGGUCAAAAAUAAAGGUGUGGAGCACA
Long non-coding RNA from Chinchilla lanigera (long-tailed chinchilla), 1726 nucleotides. RefSeq lists it as uncharacterized. The transcript has 2 exons. Lineage: Eukaryota; Metazoa; Chordata; Mammalia; Rodentia; Chinchillidae. The record is from RefSeq and is a predicted model, not a curated record.